AUUGAACGCUGGCGGCAGGCCUAACACAUGCAAGUCGAGCGGAUGAAGGGAGCUUGCUCCUGGAUUCAGCGGCGGACGGGUGAGUAAUGCCUAGGAAUCUGCCUGGUAGUGGGGGAUAACGUCCGGAAACGGGCGCUAAUACCGCAUACGUCCUGAGGGAGAAAGUGGGGGAUCUUCGGACCUCACGCUAUCAGAUGAGCCUAGGUCGGAUUAGCUAGUUGGUGGGGUAAAGGCCUACCAAGGCGACGAUCCGUAACUGGUCUGAGAGGAUGAUCAGUCACACUGGAACUGAGACACGGUCCAGACUCCUACGGGAGGCAGCAGUGGGGAAUAUUGGACAAUGGGCGAAAGCCUGAUCCAGCCAUGCCGCGUAUGUGAAGAAGGUCUUCGGAUUGUAAAGCACUUUAAGUUGGGAGGAAGGUCAGUAAGUUAAUACCUUGCUGUUUUGACGUUACCAACAGAAUAAGCACCGGCUAACUUCGUG
This 484-nucleotide ribosomal RNA is filed under the name uncultured bacterium. RNAcentral describes it as "partial 16S ribosomal RNA". It matches the Rfam family "Bacterial small subunit ribosomal RNA", at positions 30 to 507 of the family's 1533-position model. The record is from RNAcentral.